GCCGGGCAUGGUGGCUCAUGCCUGUAAUCCCAGGACUUUGGGAGCCUGAGACAGGAGGCUCUCUUGAGCUCAGGAGUUCAAGACCAGCCUGAGCAACAUGGAGAGACCCUGUCUCUA
This is a non-coding RNA of Homo sapiens (human), 117 nucleotides long. It matches the Rfam family "Metazoan signal recognition particle RNA". From Rfam's summary of the family: The signal recognition particle (SRP) is a universally conserved ribonucleoprotein. Lineage: Eukaryota; Metazoa; Chordata; Mammalia; Primates; Hominidae. The record is from Rfam.